GGACUACCCGGGUAUCUAAUCCUGUUUGAUCCCCACGCUUUCGUGCCUCAGCGUCAAUCAUUGCUUAGUUAGCUGCCUUCGCAAUCGGUGUUCUAUGUCAUCUCUAUGCAUUUCACCGCUACAUGACAUAUUCCGCCAACCUCAACAAUAUUCAAGAUCAAUAGUAUCAAUGGCAGUUUCCAAGUUAAGCUCGGAGAUUUCACCACUGACUUAAUGACCCGCCUACACACCCUUUAAACCCAGUGAAUCCGGAUAACGCUUGCACCCUCCGUAUUACCGCGGCUGCUGGCAC
RNAcentral lists this ribosomal RNA (292 nucleotides) under uncultured Bacteroidota bacterium. RNAcentral describes it as "uncultured Bacteroidetes bacterium partial 16S ribosomal RNA". The record is from RNAcentral. Lineage: Bacteria; Pseudomonadati; Bacteroidota.